This 487-nucleotide ribosomal RNA is filed under the name uncultured bacterium. RNAcentral's name for it is "bacterial SSU rRNA". It matches the Rfam family "Bacterial small subunit ribosomal RNA", at positions 21 to 507 of the family's 1533-position model. The record is from RNAcentral.
GGCUCAGAUUGAACGCUGGCGGAAUGCUUUACACAUGCAAGUCGAACGGUAGAGGGGGCAACCCCUUGAGAGUGGCGAACGGGUGAGUAAUGCAUCGGAACGUGCCCGGUCGUGGGGGAUAACGCAGCGAAAGCUGCGCUAAUACCGCAUACGAUCUGAGGAUGAAAGCAGGGGACCGCAAGGCCUUGCGCUCAUGGAGCGGCCGAUGGCAGAUUAGGUAGUUGGUGGGAUAAAAGCUUACCAAGCCGACGAUCUGUAGCUGGUCUGAGAGGACGACCAGCCACACUGGGACUGAGACACGGCCCAGACUCCUACGGGAGGCAGCAGUGGGGAAUUUUGGACAAUGGGCGCAAGCCUGAUCCAGCCAUUCCGCGUGAGUGAAGAAGGCCUUCGGGUUGUAAAGCUCUUUCGCAAGGGAAGAAACGAUACCGACGAAUAAUCGGUGUUAAUGACGGUACCUUGAUAAGAAGCACCGGCUAACUACGUG